RNAcentral lists this unclassified non-coding RNA (1152 nucleotides) under Hevea brasiliensis (rubber tree). The record is from RNAcentral. Lineage: Eukaryota; Viridiplantae; Streptophyta; Magnoliopsida; Malpighiales; Euphorbiaceae.
CUCCAUUCCUUAUCUGCAAGUUUCAAAACUGAUUCGAUCUGACCCAUGUGAAUUCCCACUGGCAUGAUCUUUAUUCCAACAGUCCUGCCAUAAUACUCCAACCCAAUAUAACCUCUCUUUGAUUGAUACUCCAAACCCAGCAUUCGACUGCAACAAGAGAGAAAAUGACGAGCAUAAUCAAAAGUGUGAAAGCCAAUAAGAUCUGAAUUCAAUAGAGCCUUAAGGAUCUCUUCCCUUACGGGUAAGGUCCUAUAUAUUUCAGAUGAAGGAAAUGGACUAUGAAGAAAGAACCCCAUUCUCAAUCUAUUAAACCUUCUUCUCAAAAAUGUGGGCAGGACCAUCAAAUGAUAAUCAUGAAUCCAAACAUAGUCAUCCUCUGGGUUUAUAACCUCAAUCACUCUUUGUGAAAAUAUCUUAUUUGCCGCCACAUAUGCUUCCCACAGAGACCGAUCAAACCGUCCACCGUGAUUAACUGAAAAGGGAAGCAUGUAAUGAAAAAGAGGCCACAGAUGUUGCUUACAAAAGCCGUGAUAGAACUUGGACAAAAUAUCAGGAGGCAAAAAUGCUGGGACACACUUAAACCUAUCCAAUAAAAGCUGUGAGACAUCAUCUUGUUCGCUCAAAUCAACUUCAACCCGCAAGGAACCAACGUAUAUAACCUCCAUAUCAUCUGGCAGACCAUCUUUCAAUUGCAAUAACAACGAGUCCUCAUCCCAGCUAAAACUCCAUCCUUUAUUAUCUGGUCUGCGCUUGGCUUUCACUGGUAGCUGAUUGGCUACGAUGAUUAUACGGUCCUGAACUACUGAAGAGGGUACAUCAGAGGACACGCUAUUGGCCUGAUCAUCAUCGAGCUCAGAAAUGACCCCAGGAACGGUCAUCACACGAGGCAACCGCUUCUUUUCACGGGGUUGACUCAGUACCGGAAAGUUACCGGAGGCUAGAUCUAAGAGAUUGGUAUACGAUCUAGACAUCAUCUUCGCUCUCUUCUUUUGAAAACCCUUUACAACUCACAGAAUCUAUCACAAGAUCUCAAGCUUAUAAACAGAAUCGGAGAUUGAGCAGGAUCUCAGUUUUGAAACGAAGAAAGUUUGUAUCUUUCCCUCUUUUGGAUCCGAAAUCGAAUAAAAAAAAUUGUAAUUUUAUCUGCACAAG